CCUACGGGAGGCUGCAGUGGGGGAUAUUGCACAAUGGGGGAAACCCUGAUGCAGCGACGCCGCGUGGGUGAAGAAGCGCCUCGGCGCGUAAAGCCCUGUCAGCAGGGAAGAAAAUGACGGUACCUGAAGAAGAAGCCCCGGCUAACUACGUGCCAGCAGCCGCGGUAAUACGUAGGGGGCAAGCGUUAUCCGGAUUUACUGGGUGUAAAGGGGGCGCAGACGGGGAUGCAAGCCAGGAGUGAAAGCCCGGGGCCCAACCCCGGGACUGCUCUUGGAACUGCGUGGCUAGAGUGCAGGAGAGGCAGGCGGAAUGCGUGGUGUAGCGGUGAAAUGCGUAGAUAGCAGGAGGAACACCGGUGGCGAAGGCGGCCUGCUGGACUGCAACUGACGUUGAGGCCCGAAAGCGUGGGGAGCAAACAGGAUUAGAUACCCUAGUAGUC
RNAcentral lists this ribosomal RNA (440 nucleotides) under uncultured bacterium. RNAcentral describes it as "partial 16S ribosomal RNA". It matches the Rfam family "Bacterial small subunit ribosomal RNA", at positions 338 to 795 of the family's 1533-position model. The record is from RNAcentral.